GUCAACGUGAAAAAAUUAGAGUGUUCAAAGCAGGCAGAUCCAAUUCCCUGCCACCGAAUACAUUAGCAUGGAAGGUAAUGGAAUAGGACCCUGUCCUCCUAGUUCCCAGUUGGUUUGCCGCGAGGACCAGGGUAAUGAUUAAUAGGGAUAGUUGGGCAUUCGAAUAUGGAUGUCAGAGGUGAAAUUCUUGGUUAUGAAAGAUUAACUUCUGCGAAAGCAUCUGCCAAGGAUGUGGUCAUGAUAAUCAAGAACGAAAGUUAGGGGAUCGAAGACGAUCAGAUACCGUCGUAGUCUUAACCAUAAACGAUGCCGACCAGCGAUUAGGAGACGUUGAAUACAAAACACCACCAUGCAUCGGUCGUCUGGUGUCGCUCACAAGGCGGCAUCGCGACGGCUUAGCUCGCAUGGCACCGGUGACUGACUCCCUAGC
This 430-nucleotide ribosomal RNA is filed under the name Acanthamoeba sp. RNAcentral describes it as "SSU rRNA". It matches the Rfam family "Eukaryotic small subunit ribosomal RNA", at positions 751 to 1084 of the family's 1831-position model. Lineage: Eukaryota; Discosea; Longamoebia; Acanthamoebidae. The record is from RNAcentral.